RNAcentral lists this ribosomal RNA (466 nucleotides) under uncultured bacterium. RNAcentral's name for it is "partial 16S ribosomal RNA". It matches the Rfam family "Bacterial small subunit ribosomal RNA", at positions 28 to 506 of the family's 1533-position model. The record is from RNAcentral.
GACGAACGCUGGCGGCGUGCUUAACACAUGCAAGUCGAACGAUGACGACCGAGCUUGCUCGGUCUGAUUAGUGGCGAACGGGUGAGUAACACGUGAGCAACCUGCCCUUCACUCUGGGAUAACCUCGGGAAAUCGGGGCUAAUACCGGAUAUGAGCUCCUGUCGCAUGGCGGGUGUUGGAAAGUUUUUCGGUGAAGGAUGGGCUCGCGGCCUAUCAGUUUGUUGGUGAGGUAGUGGCUCACCAAGGCGAUGACGGGCAGCCGGCCUGAGAGGGCGACCGGCCCCAGGGGGCUGGGGAAAGGGCCCGGCCCCCACCGGGAGGAAGGGGUGGGGAAUUUUCACAAAUGGGCGAAGGCCGGGUGCGGCGACGCCGGGGGGGGGAUUACGGCUUUGGGGUUGGAACCCUUUUUCAGGAGGGAAGAAGCAAAAGGAACGGAACCUGCAAAAGAAGCGCCGGCAAACUACGG